UUCCUACGGGGGGCAGCAGUGAGGAAUAUUGGUCAAUGGGCUAAGGCCUGAACCAGCCAAGUCGCGUGAGGGAAGACGGUCCUAUGGAUUGUAAACCUCUUUUGUCGGGGAACAAAGGCGGAGACGCGUCUCCGGAUGAGUGUACCCGAAGAAAAAGCAUCGGCUAACUCCGUGCCAGCAGCCGCGGUAAUACGGAGGAUGCGAGCGUUAUCCGGAUUUAUUGGGUUUAAAGGGUGCGCAGGCGGGAGAUCAAGUCAGCGGUAAAAUGUCGGGGCUCAACCCCGGCC
RNAcentral lists this ribosomal RNA (287 nucleotides) under uncultured bacterium. RNAcentral's name for it is "partial 16S ribosomal RNA". It matches the Rfam family "Bacterial small subunit ribosomal RNA", at positions 336 to 620 of the family's 1533-position model. The record is from RNAcentral.